CCUACGGGAGGCAGCAGUGGGGAAUAUUGGACAAUAGGGGAAACCCUGAUCCAGCCAUGCCGCGUGUGUGAAGAAGGCCUUAUGGUUGUAAAGCACUUUAAGCGAGGAGGAGGGUACCUUAGUUAAUACCUAAGAGUAUCGGACGUUACUCGCAGAAUAAGCACCGGCUAACUCUGUGCCAGCAGCCGCGGUAAUA
Molecule: ribosomal RNA, 196 nt
Filed under: uncultured Acinetobacter sp.
Lineage: Bacteria; Pseudomonadati; Pseudomonadota; Gammaproteobacteria; Moraxellales; Moraxellaceae
Description: partial 16S ribosomal RNA
Rfam family: Bacterial small subunit ribosomal RNA
Source: RNAcentral